RNAcentral lists this long non-coding RNA (327 nucleotides) under Salvator merianae (Argentine black and white tegu). Its description in RNAcentral is "lncRNA (ENSSMRG00000022760.1)". Lineage: Eukaryota; Metazoa; Chordata; Lepidosauria; Squamata; Teiidae. The record is from RNAcentral.
UCUCAGUCACACACGUACCUCAAGUGAAAGCAAAGUCUGAAGAACGGUGAAUGGAUAAAUGUAUUGUACUGAAACUAUCUGAAGAUUCCCUGAUUUUGUUGCUUGUUGUUCUCAGAAAGGCUUCUGAGAAGCUUUGAUACAAGGCAAAGAAAAGGACAAAGGUAUCUGUAAAAAAUCAAUUUCAGAAAAUGGGUUUGGAGAAGAGUCUGCACAAAAUUAUUAAAGUCAAUAUCCUCAGUGUCUGUAGAUCCUAUCACCUCUUCAGACCAUGCCUUGAUCAACAUCGCUUUGACAAUGCAACAGAUGCAGAUGAGAGACUCAUAGUGG